GACGAACGCUGGCGGCGUGCUUAACACAUGCAAGUCGAACGGAAAGGCCCUGCUUGCAGGGUACUCGAGUGGCGAACGGGUGAGUAACACGUGGGUGAUCUGCCCUGCACUUCGGGAUAAGCCUGGGAAACUGGGUCUAAUACCGGAUAUGACCUUCCAUGUAGUGUGGGGGGUGGAAAGAUUUAUCGGUGUGGGAUGAGCCCGCGGCCUAUCAGCUUGUUGGUGGGGUAAUGGCCUACCAAGGCGUCGACGGGUAGCCGGCCUGAGAGGGUGGACGGCCACAUUGGGACUGAGAUACGGCCCAGACUCCUACGGGAGGCAGCAGUGGGGAAUAUUGCACAAUGGGCGGAAGCCUGAUGCAGCGACGCCGCGUGGGGGAUGACGGCCUUCGGGUUGCAAACCUCUUUCGACAGGGACGAAGCUUCGGUGACGGUACCUGUAUAAGAAGCACCGGCUAACUACGUG
RNAcentral lists this ribosomal RNA (465 nucleotides) under uncultured bacterium. RNAcentral describes it as "partial 16S ribosomal RNA". It matches the Rfam family "Bacterial small subunit ribosomal RNA", at positions 28 to 507 of the family's 1533-position model. The record is from RNAcentral.